GUGAGGAAUUUUCCGCAAUGGGCGAAAGCCUGACGGAGCAAUGCCGCGUGAAGGAUGAAGGCCUAUGGGUUGUAAACUUCUUUUCUCAGAAAAGAAUUAUGACGGUAUCUGAGGAAUAAGCAUCGGCUAACUCUGUGCCAGCAGCCGCGGUAAGACAGAGGAUGCAAGCGUUAUCCGGAAUGAUUGGGCGUAAAUCGUCUGUAGGUUGUUUAAAAAGUAUUCUGUCAAAGAUUAGGGCUUAACCCUAGAUAGGCAGAAUAAACUUUUAAGCUAGAGUAUGGUAGAGGCAGAGGGAAUUCCCGGUGGAGCGGUGAAAUGCGUAGAUAUCGGGAGGAACACCAAAGGCGAAGGCACUCUGCUGGGCCAAUACUAACACUGAGAGACGAAAGCGAGGGGAGCAAAUGGGAUUAGAAACCCUAGUAGUCC
This 426-nucleotide ribosomal RNA is filed under the name uncultured bacterium. RNAcentral describes it as "bacterial SSU rRNA". It matches the Rfam family "Bacterial small subunit ribosomal RNA", at positions 354 to 796 of the family's 1533-position model. The record is from RNAcentral.